UUUUUUUGGAUAAGAACCUUUUAUAAAAUACUUAGAUCAUCUCCAUUGGUAAUCUCUCAAAAGAGUUUCUCACUACUAAUAUAAUAAAAAUAAUAAAAAGAGAAGAGAGAGAGAGUGUAGAAAGUUUCUCAAGUGAGAAACUAUGAGAUACUCUCUACAAGCCAUCAUUAUAUUUCUCUUAUCUCAAUUGGUUCAAUUUUUUCAUUAAAAUAAAAAUUUAAU
Molecule: small RNA, 222 nt
Filed under: Arabidopsis thaliana (thale cress)
Lineage: Eukaryota; Viridiplantae; Streptophyta; Magnoliopsida; Brassicales; Brassicaceae
Description: ATSL183430
Source: RNAcentral